UCAGUUAAAAUCCUGAUAAUCAUGAAAAGUUUACAUUUGAGUUUUGCAACAACGCACCGAAAUACAGUAACAGCAAUAAUACUAAUAAUAAACUAGGAUUUAAGUUUUGAACAUAUAAAGUAAAUAAAUUAGUUGUCAUCAGUGCAGAAACUAUGAUCCACUAACUAUAUGUAACCCUGGUUAAAUAAUUUUUACAAAUAUUAUUUAUUUGUAUGUUACUUGGAUAUAAUAUGAUUUUUCAUACAUGUGAAACUCUGCAUAAAAAUACAUCUAUAUAAAUAUAUGUAUAUUUUAUUGGAGUUUAGAAAUGAGUAACAACAAAUCAGAGCGCUGGGUUGUUGGCCCCGCCUCCUUGCUUACUGAUCGCGUUGCUCAGAUCACAAUGGAAGGCAGAUGCAGAGUGAUGGAGAAAUGUUAUCUGACGCGAGAGCGUAAAAAUAGAAACAUAUGUUCCUUAAACUGUUAAAAGUUCACAAAAACCAAAUAAAUCAGAGGGUAACCACACGAUAUUGGAUGAUCCAGUGUGAUUGUGCCGAUCGGGCAUUUCAGAGGUUACAAUUUGACUCGUGUGGUUGUCUCAGGCCGCAUGGUGUAUUAAGUGUCCAUCACUGACGCCAUUUUGAGCGCGCGUGCCUGUGAAAAAAAAAGAAAGACGUGAAUGAACAGGUAAUUGAAUAUAAUGUCAUUUACUAUGAUGAUGGUAUUCAUGUAUGUAUUGUAUUUGCAUUCUAUGUUAUGUAAUUAAUUGUAACGCAUUAUUGAUAUGCAAUAUUGAAUGCAUAUUCUGGUCUGUGAUCAGGCCAGGGUUUUUUUUUUUUUAUUUGUGAAUGUUUUGUUCAAGAUGGAUUUCCUUAAUUGAUGGCGAGCCACCCACUUCGAUUCUGAAAGGAUCAAGAGCUUAGAGGAAAGGACCAUUUUCAGUUCUAUUAUUUCUUCCUGAGAUAAGUAAGAGAACUCAUUUACAGAGACUGAUAUAGGCCUAUAUUACUAUUUUCUUCAAUUUGUGUUCCAUUGAAUACAUUGAUUGUGAUUGUGAUUACUGGUAUAUGAAAACUUAUUCAGAGGGUGCACCCAGGAUAUAGUUAUUUGUUUUUCAUUUUGUUUUGUUUUUUAUAUUGUACUUUGUUUAUGUGAUUGAGAGAAAAAAAACACUAAAGGAAAAAAAUCACUGAACUCAAAGUAAAGUGUAUUGGUUCAACUUACCUUCUGUCUCUGCCUGUUACUCAGUAUCACCACCACCUGCUUUUACGUACCGCACAGUCUUCUGAUUUAAUAUUCCUGGUCUGUUAGUUAUCGAGUUAAUAUCCGCUACAUAUACAUAAUCCAUUGCGAUGUAUUUGUUAUUAAAUAAACUUACGUUUCGCCAGAUUGCCCUUCAUCCAAGCCCUCGGAUUACAUAACAUUAGUACAGAAUCAGUUCAGAAUCAAUCACCAAAAGAAUCAGUUUGGUUCAGACGCUCUGUGUGUCAGUCUGCUUCACGCUGAAUCAUACAUGCGCAGUAUCAUCAGUUCCUCGGCUCUCGAAUCUGACAUGUCUGAAAAAAACGGUUUUUGGUUCAGUGUACUGAUUUUUCGAAAACCGAUGCAACCGGUUCUUGACUCGAGUACGAGAAUCACUCUAACCGGCAUGUGCUGCAGUUCAGUUUAAUCAGCUGCUCUACUCGAGUUCAUGUUCUGUUUACUACAAACUCAAUUUGUGAAUGUGUCAUCAUUAACUAUAUAUAUACAGUACAGAUAUUUCAUAAAUCAUCCCUUAUUCCUAUUAAACAUAGAGUCUUAAUUAAUA
Molecule: long non-coding RNA, 1786 nt
Filed under: Carassius auratus (goldfish)
Lineage: Eukaryota; Metazoa; Chordata; Actinopteri; Cypriniformes; Cyprinidae
Description: lncRNA (ENSCARG00000000971.1)
Source: RNAcentral